AGAGUUUGAUCAUGGCUCAGAAUCAACGCUGGCGGCGCGCUUAACACAUGCAAGUCGAACGAGAAAGGGGAGCAAUCCCUGAGUAAAGUGGCGUACGGGUGAGUAACACGUGGAUGAUCUACCUCUUGGUGGGGAAUACCUCUGGGAAACCGGAGACAAUACCGCAUAAGCUCGGAAGAGGAAACCCGCAAGGGGCCGAGAGAGGAGUCCGCGGCCGAUUAGCUAGUUGGUAGGGUAAAAGCCUACCAAAGCGAAGAUCGGUAGCCGGCCUGAGAGGGCACACGGCCACACUGGCACUGAAACACGGGCCAGACUCCUACGGGAGGCAGCAGUGGGGAAUCUUGCACAAUGGGGGAAACCCUGAUGCAGCGACGCCGCGUGAGCGAUGAAGCCCUUCGGGGUGUAAAGCUCUUUCGACGGGAACGAUAAUGACGGUACCCGGAGAAGAAGCUGCGGCUAACUACGUGCCAGCAGCCGCGGUAAUACGUAGGCAGCAAGCGUUGUUCGGAGUUACUGGGCGUAAAGAGUGCGUAGGUGGUGCCCUAAGUCUGUUGUGAAAUCUCCCGGCUUAACUGGGAGGGUGCGGUGGAAACUGGGGUGCUUGAGUGUGGGAGAGGUAAGCGGAAUUCCUGGUGUAGCGGUGAAAUGCGUAGAUAUCAGGAGGAACACCGGUGGUGUAGACGGCUUACUGGACCACGACUGACACUGAGGCACGAAAGCGUGGGUAGCAAACAGGAUUAGAUACCCUAGUAGUCC
This 756-nucleotide ribosomal RNA is filed under the name uncultured bacterium. Its description in RNAcentral is "bacterial SSU rRNA". It matches the Rfam family "Bacterial small subunit ribosomal RNA", at positions 8 to 796 of the family's 1533-position model. The record is from RNAcentral.